RNAcentral lists this unclassified non-coding RNA (253 nucleotides) under Basidiomycota sp. Its description in RNAcentral is "partial contains small subunit ribosomal RNA, internal transcribed spacer 1, and 5.8S ribosomal RNA". The stretch from base 1 to 47 matches the Rfam family "Eukaryotic small subunit ribosomal RNA", at positions 1785 to 1831 of the family's 1831-position model. Lineage: Eukaryota; Fungi; Basidiomycota. The record is from RNAcentral.
AAAGUCGUAACAAGGUUUCCGUAGGUGAACCUGCGGAAGGAUCAUUAUUGAAAUCCUUUGGAUGCUGCUGGCCCCUCGGGGCAUGUGCACUCCUGCCUUUUCAUCUCACCUGUGAACUUAUUGUAGACCAGGUUUUAACUAACCUGUGUCUAUGUUAUCUUUACACACACACAAGUUUAUCAGAAUGUCUCCAAGACCUUGAAUGGUCAAAAAAAAGUUAAUACAACUUUCAGCAAUGGAUCUCUUGGUUCUC